AAAAGCUCAAAUUUGUAAUCUGGCGUCUUCGACGUCCGAGUUGUAAUCUCGAGAAGUGUUUUCCGUGAUAGACCGCAUACAAGUCUCUUGGAACAGAGCGUCAUAGUGGUGAGAACCCAGUACACGAUGCGGAUGCCUAUUACUUUGUGAUACACUUUCGAAGAGUCGAGUUGUUUGGGAAUGCAGCUCAAAUUGGGUGGUAAAUUCCAUCUAAAGCUAAAUAUUGGCGAGAGACCGAUAGCGAACAAGUACCGUGAGGGAAAGAUGAAAAGCACUUUGGAAAGAGAGUUAACAGUACGUGAAAUUGUUGGAAGGGAAACACAUGCAGUGAUACUUGCUAUUCGGGGCAACUCGAUUGGCAGGCCCGCAUCAGUUUUUCGGGGCGGAAAAUCGUAGAGAGAAGGUAGCAGUUUCGGCUGUGUUAUAGCUCUUUACUGGAUUCGCCCUGGGGGACUGAGGAACGCAGCGUGCUUUUAGCAUGAGCUUCGGCUUAUCCACGCUUAGGAUGCGGGUUUAUGGCUGUAUAUGACCCGU
RNAcentral lists this ribosomal RNA (534 nucleotides) under Sporobolomyces pararoseus. Its description in RNAcentral is "eukaryotic LSU rRNA". It matches the Rfam family "Eukaryotic large subunit ribosomal RNA", at positions 103 to 652 of the family's 3401-position model. The record is from RNAcentral. Lineage: Eukaryota; Fungi; Basidiomycota; Microbotryomycetes; Sporidiobolales; Sporidiobolaceae.